Molecule: ribosomal RNA, 492 nt
Filed under: uncultured bacterium
Lineage: Bacteria
Description: partial 16S ribosomal RNA
Rfam family: Bacterial small subunit ribosomal RNA
Source: RNAcentral
AGUGAACGCUGGCGGUAGGCCUAACACAUGCAAGUCGAACGGCAGCACAGUAAGAGCUUGCUCUUACGGGUGGCGAGUGGCGGACGGGUGAGGAAUACAUCGGAAUCUACUUUUUCGUGGGGGAUAACGUAGGGAAACUUACGCUAAUACCGCAUACGACCUACGGGUGAAAGCAGGGGAUCUUCGGACCUUGCGCGAUUGAAUGAGCCGAUGUCGGUUUAGCUAGUUGGCGGGGGAAAGGCCCACCAAGGCGACGAUCCGGAGCUGGUCUGAGAGGAUGAUCAACCAAACUGGAAAUGAGACAAGGUCCAGAAUCCUAAGGGAGGCAGUAGUGGGGAAUAUUGGACAAUGGGCGCAAGCCUGAUCCAGCCAUACCGCGUGGGUGAAGAAGGCCUUCGGGUUGUAAAGCCCUUUUGUUGGGAAAGAAAAGCAGCAGGUUAAUACCCCGCUGUUCUGACGGUACCCAAAGAAUAAGCACCGGCUAACUUCGUG